AAAAAAACUUGUGUAAAAGUCACCUUCUAAGUUACUUUUGGUUGGUUCAAUUCCACCUUUUUUUU
This 65-nucleotide transfer RNA is filed under the name Galathealinum brachiosum. RNAcentral describes it as "tRNA-Ser". The record is from RNAcentral. Lineage: Eukaryota; Metazoa; Annelida; Polychaeta; Sabellida; Siboglinidae.